This 296-nucleotide long non-coding RNA is filed under the name Phasianus colchicus (ring-necked pheasant). Its description in RNAcentral is "lncRNA (ENSPCLG00000003797.1)". The record is from RNAcentral. Lineage: Eukaryota; Metazoa; Chordata; Aves; Galliformes; Phasianidae.
AUGAAACACUACUGUGUUUGUGGACUGAGUUCUAUUUGUAUGAAAAAUCUGAUGUUGCAUGCUCCUCCGCUCCCUAACAUGGAAUGGAUUAUUCUGGAGAAAAUGAAUGAAAAUGUUGGAUGGAGGGGAUUUGAAGCAGAUGCAUGCUUUUUCUUGUAUUAUCAAAACUGUAGAAGGUAGAGAAUGGGCUGAACAGCAAAGAGGAAACACUCUGCACUGAGGUCAGCUGCUCACAGAUCUAAAGGUCCUUCAAAACUAAAAUUGUUUUCAACCAAAAGAAUUCAUGGCAGAAUUGA